AGAACGAACGCUGGCGGCAGGCUUAACACAUGCAAGUCGAACGCCCCGCAAGGGGAGUGGCAGACGGGUGAGUAACGCGUGGGAAUCUACCUGGUUCUACGGAAUAACUGAGGGAAACUUCAGCUAAUACCGUAUACGCCCUAAGGGGGAAAGAUUUAUCGGUGCCAGAUGAGCCCGCGUAAGAUUAGCUAGUUGGUGGGGUAAUGGCCUACCAAGGCGACGAUCUUUAGCUGGUCUGAGAGGAUGAUCAGCCACACUGGGACUGAGACACGGCCCAGACUCCUACGGGAGGCAGCAGUGGGGAAUAUUGGACAAUGGGCGAAAGCCUGAUCCAGCCAUGCCGCGUGAGUGAUGAAGGCCUUAGGGUUGUAAAGCUCUUUCAGUGGGGAAGAUAAUGACGGUACCCACAGAAGAAGCCCCGGCUAACUUCGUGCCAGCAGCCGC
Molecule: ribosomal RNA, 444 nt
Filed under: uncultured bacterium
Lineage: Bacteria
Description: SSU rRNA
Rfam family: Bacterial small subunit ribosomal RNA
Source: RNAcentral